ACCAGGUCACAGAGGGGCCAAGGCCUCGUGGACACACCUGCCCCAGUGCGGGCCCUCCCACUGUGGGAAGCUGGCUCCGGGGACAGUCGUUGCCUGCUAGGAAGUCAGCAACAGGAGGGUCAGUGCUGGGCAUCAGGGAGAGAGAGUUGAGGAGGGACUGAGCUCGCCAAGGGGAGACAGACAUUUAAACAGAUGAUUAUAAGAAGUAUUUUUUGAG
Orcinus orca (killer whale) is the source of this 217-nucleotide long non-coding RNA. RefSeq lists it as uncharacterized. NCBI's taxonomy places the organism in Eukaryota, Metazoa, Chordata, Mammalia, Artiodactyla, Delphinidae. The transcript is spliced from 3 exons. The record is from RefSeq and is a predicted model, not a curated record.